Molecule: microRNA precursor, 77 nt
Filed under: Alligator mississippiensis (American alligator)
Lineage: Eukaryota; Metazoa; Chordata; Crocodylia; Alligatoridae
Description: mir-460 microRNA precursor family
Rfam family: mir-460 microRNA precursor family
Source: Rfam by way of RNAcentral
CUCUAUGUUGUCCUCAUUGUACAUGCUGUGUGUAUAUUUAUGACGUACACAGCGCAUGCAAUGUGGACAGAAUGGAG